UUUAUAGUCUUUGUUUUUUUGGUAAUAAAGUAAUAUUCGUAGUAUUGUAAUCAAUUUGUUUGUUGUUUGUCUGGUGUUUUUCGUUACACAAUCACGCAAUUCUCAUAUGAUGUAUUCUAAAUUGAGGAUAAAGACAAAACCAAAUGAACACAAUUCUGCUAGUAGAUUUCCUAUCCAACAUAUGCAUUCCCACAGGUAAAUAUAUAAAUAAAUUAAAACGAAUCUUGCAAUUUAAAUA
This 238-nucleotide long non-coding RNA is filed under the name Malus domestica (apple). Its description in RNAcentral is "long non-coding RNA (MDOM_LNC002369)". Lineage: Eukaryota; Viridiplantae; Streptophyta; Magnoliopsida; Rosales; Rosaceae. The record is from RNAcentral.